This 520-nucleotide ribosomal RNA is filed under the name uncultured Paenibacillus sp. RNAcentral describes it as "bacterial SSU rRNA". It matches the Rfam family "Bacterial small subunit ribosomal RNA", at positions 354 to 866 of the family's 1533-position model. Lineage: Bacteria; Bacillati; Bacillota; Bacilli; Caryophanales; Paenibacillaceae. The record is from RNAcentral.
GUAGGGAAUCUUCCGCAAUGGGCGAAAGCCUGACGGAGCAACGCCGCGUGAGUGAUGAAGGUUUUCGGAUCGUAAAGCUCUGUUGCCAGGGAAGAACGUCCGGUAGAGUAACUGCUACCGGAGUGACGGUACCUGAGAAGAAAGCCCCGGCUAACUACGUGCCAGCAGCCGCGGUAAUACGUAGGGGGCAAGCGUUGUCCGGAAUUAUUGGGCGUAAAGCGCGCGCAGGCGGCUAUUUAAGUCUGGUGUUUAAACCUUGGGCUCAACCUGAGGUCGCACUGGAAACUGGGUGGCUUGAGUACAGAAGAGGAAAGUGGAAUUCCACGUGUAGCGGUGAAAUGCGUAGAGAUGUGGAGGAACACCAGUGGCGAAGGCGACUUUCUGGGCUGUAACUGACGCUGAGGCGCGAAAGCGUGGGGAGCAAACAGGAUUAGAUACCCUGGUAGUCCACGCCGUAAACGAUGAGUGCUAGGUGUUAGGGGUUUCGAUACCCUUGGUGCCGAAGUUAACACAGUAAGCA